GAUGAACGCUGGCGGCGUGCUUAACACAUGCAAGUCGAACGAUGAAGCUCAGCUUGCUGGGUGGAUUAGUGGCGAACGGGUGAGUAACACGUGAGUAACCUGCCCUUAACUCUGGGAUAAGCCUGGGAAACUAGGUCUAAUACCGGAUAGGAGCGCCUACCGCAUGGUGGGUGUUGGGAAGAUUUAUCGGUUUUGGAUGGACUCGCGGCCUAUCAGCUUGUUGGUGAGGUAAUGGCUCACCAAGGCGACGACGGGUAGCCGGCCUGAGAGGGUGACCGGCCACACUGGGACUGAGACACGGCCCAGACUCCUACGGGAGGCAGCAGUGGGGAAUAUUGCACAAUGGGCGGAAGCCUGAUGCAGCGACGCCGCGUGAGGGAUGACGGCCUUCGGGUUGUAAACCUCUUUCAGUAGGGAAGAAGCGAGAGUGACGGUACCUGCAGAAGAAGCACCGGCUAACUACGUG
This 466-nucleotide ribosomal RNA is filed under the name uncultured bacterium. RNAcentral describes it as "partial 16S ribosomal RNA". It matches the Rfam family "Bacterial small subunit ribosomal RNA", at positions 28 to 507 of the family's 1533-position model. The record is from RNAcentral.